This 205-nucleotide ribosomal RNA is filed under the name uncultured bacterium. RNAcentral's name for it is "partial 16S ribosomal RNA". It matches the Rfam family "Bacterial small subunit ribosomal RNA", at positions 568 to 774 of the family's 1533-position model. The record is from RNAcentral.
CGCGUAGGCGGAGCGCUAAGCGGGACCUCUAACCCGAGGGCUCAACCCCGGCCGGGUCCCGAACUGGCGCUCUCGAGUGCGGUAGGGGAGAGCGGAAUUCCCGGUGUAGCGGUGGAAUGCGCAGAUAUCGGGAAGAACACCGACGGCGAAGGCAGCUCUCUGGGCCGAAACUGACGCUGAGGCGCGAAAGCUGGGGGAGCGAACA